GCCUCUGGAGUACUGACGCAAGGGUUAUCCUCUAAGGAAUUAAAGGGGGCCCGCACAAGCGUUAGAGCCUAUAGUUUAAUAUGAAGCAACGCGAAGACGCUUUCCAAAUCCUGAUAGCCUGUAACAACUCGAGAGAUAGAGCUUUGGCCUUCGGGGGACAAAGUGACAGAUGGUGCAUGGUGGUCGUCAGCUCGUGUCGUGAGAUGUUGGGUUAAGUCCCGCAACGAGCGCAACCCUUAAGCUUAGUUGCCAUCAUUAAGUGCGGCACUAUUAAGUUGACUGCCGUUGACAAAGCGUAGGAAGGUGGUGACGGCGUCAAAGCAU
Molecule: ribosomal RNA, 324 nt
Filed under: Staphylococcus aureus
Lineage: Bacteria; Bacillati; Bacillota; Bacilli; Caryophanales; Staphylococcaceae
Description: bacterial SSU rRNA
Rfam family: Bacterial small subunit ribosomal RNA
Source: RNAcentral